Molecule: non-coding RNA, 3326 nt
Organism: Zonotrichia albicollis (white-throated sparrow)
Lineage: Eukaryota; Metazoa; Chordata; Aves; Passeriformes; Passerellidae
Source: RefSeq, a predicted model, not a curated record
GCCGGGCGGCCGGGCUGGGCAGCGCGGCGGGAGCAGCGCUCCGAGCAGAACGCCUGUCCAGGAUGCCAGCACCGCUCAGAAAACUGCGGGGAGAGAGACCCGGCGCCACGGCCCCAGCCAGCAGCACGAAGAGCUGACGAACAAGAUCAUAAUGGGGCAGUCAGGGACACCAUUCGUCUUUGCGAUUCCUUCAGCCGGUUUGGUGGCUGACCAUGACCUCGUAGCUGCGACCACAGCUACGGAUGAGGAGCCAAAGCGGAGCACGGGGCCGUGCACCCCAGCUGCUGGGCAAGCAUCGUGUGCCCGCUGCAGCUGAAGAAGGGAGCAGUCACUGCGGACAAGGGAGUGCUGGGCACGCAGAGACCUGGAGGCAGCUCUGCAUCAGCCCACAGCUGAGUGGGGUGGAAGUGAUGCUGGAGGCCGUGUUUGGGAAAGGGAGGACAUCUGCGCUCGUGUGGGGUGUUCUGACACACAGUAAUUUCAGUUCUUUAAGUUGCAUAGGCUAUGUUUACUAAGAACUCUCCUUUUCUGCUAAUGGUUUAGAAAAUAUUUCAGUAUCGCCAUCUCCAUCAUCUUCUUCCUUCCUGGUUCCAAAUCAAUAAAAACUUAGUCCUUUCCUACAUUAUUUUAAGGAUACUAUCUCCAUCUAACAGAAGUUCACACAUUAUCAGUAGGAAUGCUUGCUUUACAAAUGUUGUAGAAAACUCACAUCUUUUAAAAAACUGGCAGUGACUGACUUUCUUCCUGUAGACUUCAGCUUGACUUUAUCACUUUUCCCAUUUUGCAGAUAGAUUUUAUACUUUUUCUCCCUCCUCAAUUUAAAAAUUAUUUUCAGUAUUAUAUAUUGCAUUUUUACUCUGACUGUUGUAACCACUGAACCACAAUAGGCUUAAAAGUUAUCCUUUUCAUGAAAUAUACCUUGUUAGCCAUCUAACAGAAUUUGUUUUCUUCCUCUCUAAAGCUUUCCUACUCUCACUUAAAAUUUCCCAUUUUUGGGGAACCACUGAUACCUCUGGGGUCAUCAUCCCCUCUCAUGACUCCUUGAGGUAGAGCAGUGAUGAGAAAGUCCUCUGUUUGCUGGUAGUAAAUUUAGUUGGGUCACUUGGAAUGCAUCACUCGGAAACCUCCACUCUCUGCUACAGUUAUUAUAAUCCUUUGCACGCCUGUGUCCGUUUCAUUUGCUUAAAUGCUAUCCAAUUACUUUGUUGAUAAUUAACAUAUUUUGCAUGGUUUUGCCUGGUGAUGUUCUUAAUCAUUCUGUUGCUAUUUCACCAAUAACUCAACAGUAUGUAACUGCACUCUGAUUCAGUAAUGUGAAGGAACAGAAUAUAACAGUUUGCUUUAAAUAACUAUCCUGGAUAUUAUACUAAUGCUUUCCUGUUGGCUGGCCAAGACAAAAGUAUUUCUGACUAGAAUGUGGCUUGUUUCUCCUGAACUUAAUGCUUAGACAGCAAGACUGGAGACCCUUCCCUCUUGUACAGGGAGGAAAGGGGGAGAAGCUCUGGAGAAGUCAGUAGCUGUGGGGAGCCGAGCUGCAAGAUUCCUAAGCCAUUCCCCACAGAGGACUGCCAUCUUCUGUUUAAGCCAUUUCUGUUUGCCCAGCCUAAGUUUAUAAAAAAACUGGGCAAAAGGUGAAGGGGGAAGAGAAGGGACCACACUGUACGAAGUGCCAUUGGCGUAAUCUUUUCAUAUGCUGUUGUGAGCUACCAAAAAUAUUUUAUAUAGUGUCCUAUUUGCUGGUGAAGAAUUGGAAAUGUCUGUGAUGUGUAUCUAAGGUACUUCAGAUAAGGAGUUUUUCUACUCCACGUCUUUGCCAUGAACAGCUACAAGCCAUGUUUGCUGUUACACAGGGAGUUAAUGGUAAUAGCUGCAUCUUCUAGGUUUAAAAUAAGUGAAUUCAGGCUUACCAGAGAAGGAUAAAGAAACCAACAGAGGUUCUUGAGCUACUACACAGCCCUCAAUGUGACUGUCCCUGCCUCUCUCUGGAUGUCAAGGCACUGCUUUUAUGAGAGUCACCAAAAGACUUCUGAGUACCAGGCUGUAUCUUUAUCCAUAGCUGGAAUAUCUCCUCCCUGCAGAGGAGCAGAACAGAAAAGAGUCUUCAUUCCUUUGCCCCCACUCCUCAAAAUUCAUACUGAUUUCCACAUCCUACCCUACUUUUCUCAGAAAAAAUUUCCAAGGAGAUGAAAAGCUCUCUACUAACAAGAAUUUGCUUCUCUGCUUUCAUGGCUGCUCUUGACAAAAAACAGCUUUCCCACCCUGUUGUUUAGAUUUCAUCAAAGUUUGCAAACCUGAAAUCCACCAUAGGAAUUUUAGUCCCCUCCUAGAAGCUGUUAUUCCAAGAGAGCUUAGAAAUUCAUCAGAGGAUCUGAAAAACACAUCAGCACUGGGAAUCCACAACUAGGAUUUCAUGCCAGAAAUAGGUGCCGCCUGAACUACUUUGCUUUUUCUAGGCAUUGCAGUGAAAUCACUGACAGGGAAUGGGGAAAUAAACUGUUCAGGAGAUUCCUCUGCUUUAAAUAUUGCUCUAGGUUUGAGGAGGAGAAUGGCAAUUACUGUCAGAGAUUCUCAGGGACUGACUUUAUCGCACAACUAAGCAUUGAGAACUCACUUCUGCAGAUACGAACAAAUUGGCUGUGACUACCUUGCUGUUACUGCAGUAGCACUGCAGCCAACAGAACUAAGCAUGCAAAUGUGAGACAUCAGGCAGACAUCUAGUAUUAAGUAUCCUGCUUUUUUUAAUGGGGCACAGGCUUGUGAAGAAACACAUGGCAAAACUGAAGGAAAAUUAUCUUGCCAAGCCUCAUGUUAUGCUAUUUGUAUAAAUCUUGAUAUGAACAAGCAGAAGGAAUUUGCUUGAACUUUUUUUGAAAAUUCAUACCUUGUGUUCUUGCUAUCAUCUGAGUGUUCCAGCUCUGCAUGUGGGAACCUGGUUCUGCUACCCUGCUGAGGGCUGCUAAGGAGAGCUCUGAUAUAAGCUUAUAAGCUUGCUCCCUUCUCUAGACUGGAUGUUCUCUGGUUGUGUCUUCCAGUGGAGUGAUGGUGAUGACACUGCAAACCCCUCUCUUCAAAAAAAAAAGGAGCAAACUCCCCCCUUAGGCCAAAAAUAUUCAGCAGCAACCUCAAACCUCCUGAGGCAAGAUUCACACAAGUGGCUCAAGUUUCAACUGCUUGAUGGUAUAGAACUGCAUGAACUUAAGCAGUUUCUCCACGGGGGAAUAUAAACAGCUCAACUCGAGGAAUGCAAACACCUCUUGUACAAAGUGUGACAUCACCACACAGAAGGCACUAUAUAAAAAAGCAGGUAGGACAUCUUGCUAAAUGUA